Molecule: ribosomal RNA, 629 nt
Filed under: Zaops ostreum
Lineage: Eukaryota; Metazoa; Arthropoda; Malacostraca; Decapoda; Pinnotheridae
Description: partial 16S ribosomal RNA
Rfam family: Bacterial large subunit ribosomal RNA
Source: RNAcentral
GUCUGCUUGGAGAUAUAAGAAGUCUAGCCUGCUCUCUGAUUUUUUAAGGGCCGCGGUAAUUUGACUGUGCAAAGGUAGCAUAAUAGUUAGUUUUUUAAUUGGAAUCUUGUAUGAAUGGUUGGACAAAAGAAAUACUGUCUCUAUAAUUUUUAUUGAAUUUAACUUUUAAGUGAAAAGGCUUAAAUAAUUUAAAAAGACGAUAAGACCCUAUAAAGCUUGAUAAGUUAAUAUUAUUUAAUUAAAUUAGUAAUAAAAUUUUAAUAAUUUUUAUUAUUUUAUUGGGGAGAUAGAGGUAUAAUUAAAGAUAACUGUAGUUUAUGUGAUACAAAUAUAAAUGUUUAAAAUAGUAAAAGAUCCUAAUUAAAGAUUAAAAAUUUAAGUUACUUUAGGGAUAACAGCGUUAUUUUUUUUGAGAGUUCAUAUCGAAAAAAGAGAUUGCGACCUCGAUGUUGAAUUAAAAUUUCUAGAUAAUUGCAGAAGUUAUUGAAGAAGGUCUGUUCGACCUUUAAAUUUUUACAUGAUUUGAGUUCAGACCGGCGUGAGCCAGGUUGGUUUCUAUCUUUUAAGAAUAAAUAAAUUAUUUUAGUACGAAAGGAUUAAAUAAUUAAAAAUUUUUUAUAAAAUGGAAA